GGGGUUGUAGCUCAAUGGUAUAGUGCUUGCCUUGUACACGUGAGGCCCUGGGUUCCAUCCUCAGCACCACCU
Molecule: transfer RNA, 72 nt
Filed under: Marmota marmota marmota (Alpine marmot)
Lineage: Eukaryota; Metazoa; Chordata; Mammalia; Rodentia; Sciuridae
Also listed under: 4 other names
Rfam family: tRNA
About the family: Transfer RNA (tRNA) molecules are approximately 80 nucleotides in length. Their secondary structure includes four short double-helical elements and three loops (D, anti-codon, and T loops). Further hydrogen bonds mediate the characteristic L-shaped molecular structure. tRNAs have two regions of fundamental functional importance: the anti-codon, which is responsible for specific mRNA codon recognition, and the 3' end, to which the tRNAs corresponding amino acid is attached (by aminoacyl-tRNA synthetases). tRNAs cope with the degeneracy of the genetic code in two manners: having more than one tRNA (with a specific anti-codon) for a particular amino acid; and 'wobble' base-pairing, i.e. permitting non-standard base-pairing at the 3rd anti-codon position.
Source: Rfam by way of RNAcentral